This is a long non-coding RNA of Eucalyptus grandis, 1063 nucleotides long. RefSeq lists it as uncharacterized. NCBI's taxonomy places the organism in Eukaryota, Viridiplantae, Streptophyta, Magnoliopsida, Myrtales, Myrtaceae. The transcript has 2 exons. The record is from RefSeq and is a predicted model, not a curated record.
AUUUCAAUGCUUAUUUGGUUGAUGUUGGAGAGGCUGAAGGAGGACAAAAGCCUCUAGAUGAUACUUAUAUUCACAGCCUAAUUAUUGUUGGGCAAUUGGAUUUAUAAGUUCCCCCUGCCGAGGGUAUUCCUUGCUUGUCUUCUUCAUAGUUGUUUUGUUGGUUCAAAUCAUCUGUAGGUGCAAUGUGAUGAAUGUGACGUUCUUGGGUUUGGUUUGUUAAAAGUCCAAAUGAGUAUAUUUUACUUAUUGUUUGUCUUGGAAAAAAGAGCGUUGCUUGCAUACAAAUACGCAUAGACCCUCCUUUGUGAUGCUUUGCUUGUUGUUCGUCUGGGAAAUUAAAUAUUUUGUUCUUUUGCUUGCUUCAAAUUGCUACCUGGGUACGGUUCAUGUAUUGAUUGAUUUAGAAUCUAGAUGUAAACAUUUGCAAUUGAUCUACUGUUGCUUUUGUUCAAUGAGCAACUGAUCUUUUGAAACUCCAUUUUUUUUGUUAAAGUUUUUCCUUUUGUUAACCUUACUUUCAAUUGAUGCAGAGCUUUGGUUGAGUUUCUGGAUAUGAGGUUCACUAUAAUCCCCUCUAUGAAUUACGAGAUGCUCCUAAUUCCUCAAAAACCGAAAAAGAAACAUUGGUUAUUUUAGAAGAAACUGGUCGCUUAUGAUGUUGCAACCUUCCAGAAAUGGGAACCAAAUUGAUACCAUCUCUAUACCCUACAUAUAUAGAUUCUACAUCCCAAAUAGCACAGCUUGCUUUACAAUGCUUCCAAAUGACUCCUAAUGAGCAGCCUUUGAGGACUAAGGUCGUGGAAGAACUGGAAUCUGUAGACAUUGGCAUCGCUAAUAGAAUAUAAUGGGAUAGUUAAAUUCACUUAUUAUGUCAUUCUUACUUCAUGUGAUGUAAGUCAAAGUUUGUUGUUCCAUACUUUUCCAUUUUUCCGAGGAAUAAUCCUGGGCUUUGAAUGUUCAUUUCUAUUGUACCCAGCAGUUACUAGGAGUUGUCUUCUCUUGUAAGUUCUUUGGAAUAUCCAUGACAUGUAUAUUAAUACAUGCACUGCUUUGUGAAUUAAGA